Long non-coding RNA from Strigops habroptila (Kakapo), 1434 nucleotides. RefSeq lists it as uncharacterized. The transcript is spliced from 3 exons. The record is from RefSeq and is a predicted model, not a curated record. NCBI's taxonomy places the organism in Eukaryota, Metazoa, Chordata, Aves, Psittaciformes, Psittacidae.
GGGGCGGGGAGCGCUCGCCUCAGGACCAGGGCCCGCUCUGGGAGCUCUGCUCUGGCUGCCGCGGCGGUGGCAGUGUCGGCACCAGACAGAGCCGCUGGGAGGGGACGCUGCGGCGCAGAGCUCGAGUGUAGAAAGUGCCUCGACUGGUCUCUUGGGGCGAGAGUGCACAAUGGACAGGGCUGCAGUCGGUGUGCCCUAGUUGAGGUCCUCCCGCAGCAGGUGGCUGAGCUGCGGGAGGCUGCUGGUGAGCUAAAAGCUGCCAGGGAAGCUGAGAAGAAGCUGGGCUGAUUGCUCCAGGCCCAAACCGUGCAGGGGCCGCAAACGUCCAGCACUGCUCACCCAGGAAAAAAGGAGGGCAACAACCCAGGAAGCUGGGAACUAGUAACAAGAAAAACCAACAAAAAAAGGAGGAAGAGGACAAUUAACAGCAAGGGGCUUCCUCAUAAAUCCGAUGUCCCCAACCAGAACCACUUCUCAGUUCUGCAGGGGGCUAAUGAGAAAGCACCCACCACACCUAAUGAAGAUCCUGCUGAUGCACCAGUAAAGAGGAUCACUACUGGUGCCUCCAGGAAAAAGCGGAGGGUCAUAGUAGUAGGGGACUCUACUUUGAAAGGCACAGAGGCACCCAUCUGCCGGCCUGACCCAGUCUCGAGGGAGGUGUGCUGCCUGCUGGGGGCUCGGAUCAGGGAUGUUUCUGAGAGGCUGCCUGGUCUAUAUGACUGUAUCUGUGUCAAGGACAACUUAGCAAAGAGCAAGGGAAGAAAACUCCUCCAAACUUCCCUUCAGCAUGAGGUCAGUUUCUAUGGGGACACGAAAAAGCUACUGAGCCAACCAAGAAACCAUCACUUUCACAGCCUGCCGAAGGAGAGCAAUACUAGUAAGCUGAUGAACAGGCUGCAGCGACAGGAUUGCCCAAAGCUCUAAUGGAACAGGAACAUCUGAAGACAAAUCACCAAGUCCCACAGAAUAUUACAGCAAAACUGUGCAAAAUCAUCCCUGGAGAACAGGAUUGCCACUGUGAGCCGGUCAUUCUGUAAGCAGGUCACUGCUUCUUUCAGUGCUGAACAUUGGACCCAAACCACUAUAAUGCGUUUUGACCUCUUGAGCAACUCUUAUCCCAGUCCAUAGUCCUUUUUGAUUUCAGCACGAUCAGCAAUUACACAACACAUCGUGAGUGCACAAAUGAGCUACCAGAGGUUAACAAAUUCCAUCUGCUCUGACAACCUGCAGUAACUUCUGCACACAGAAGUCACUUUGGCCUGCUAUGAAAAUUACCUGUAGUUCUCCUGACUACUUUUUAAGCAUAAAACAAUAAGACUGCAGGUAAUGAGAUAACACCAAAAUAACUUGUUAAAUGUUACAGUUGAGUGCUAGCACCUUCCUACCAAGAAAACAUCAUAAGAAGUUCCUCCCAAUAAACAGUGUUUCCCUAAU